Molecule: RNA transcript, 728 nt
Organism: Ananas comosus (pineapple)
Lineage: Eukaryota; Viridiplantae; Streptophyta; Magnoliopsida; Poales; Bromeliaceae
Gene name: NADH dehydrogenase [ubiquinone] 1 beta subcomplex subunit 7-like
Exons: 3
Source: RefSeq, a predicted model, not a curated record
AGCCCAAGCCCAACUACAGAACCCCGGGGGAAGCGAUCGAGGAGAGAGAGAGAGAGAGAGGGAGGGAGGAGAGAGAAAGCUCGAGAGUGCGAUAACAAUGGCGGAGGAGGUGAAGCUGGGGUCGACGAAGCCGAUGAUCGCGACGCAAGCGGAGAUGGUGGAGGCGCGGGUGCCCAUCCCUUACCGCGACCAGUGCGCCCACCUCCUCAUCCCCCUCAACCUCUGCCGCGCCGCCGAGUUCUACCUCCCAUGGCGGUGCGAGCUCGAGCGCCACGGCUACGAGAAGUGCGAGUACGAGCUCGUCAUGGAGCGCAUGCUCCAGAUGCAGCGGAUCCGCGAGAUCGAGAAGACGACGAAGGCGAAGCAGAUCCAAUCCGGGGGCGCCCCGAUCCCCCUCAUCCCCUCCCCCGCUAACGCCUAAAAAGGGGUUUCAUAAGAGACAUAGAGAGCAGGGAAUGUAAACAUGUUGGUGAUCAAGAGAGCAGGGAUCCUCAGCUGGAACUCAGUAUAUUAUUCUGUAACUCGUCGCAAGGACUGUAAACUUGUUAUGCAAUCAAGAACUUCUCUUUGAUUCGGAUAAACUGAGACUACCUGUUAUGUUUCCUCCUUGUUUUAAGCUCCCAGUUCAGUUUUUAGAAAUAAAAGAAUUAAGUGUUCAUAUAUUACACCUUGAAAGAGGUACAAGACAGUUAAAUUAAUUGCAUCUUCAAUUGUUCUUCCUUGUUGCA